This 1001-nucleotide long non-coding RNA is filed under the name Macaca fascicularis (crab-eating macaque). Its description in RNAcentral is "lncRNA (ENSMFAG00000052230.1)". Lineage: Eukaryota; Metazoa; Chordata; Mammalia; Primates; Cercopithecidae. The record is from RNAcentral.
UAUAGAGAGAGGUUUGAAUCUACCACUAUGGUCAUGGACUUGUCUACUGUUCCUUUUGGUUAUGCCAGGUUUUGCUUAGGAUGCAUGUUAUUUCAUGCCACAAGUUUAGAACAUUGCAUUUCUGUUUGGUUGUCACCUUCUGUCAUUCUAGAAUGUCCCUUAUCUGUAUUACUGCUUCUUGUCUGACGUUAGCAUUGCCACAAUAGGUUUUUCUUGUCAUUUUAGUUUCAAGUCUCUGUAGCCUUAUGUUACAUAUGUGUCUUAUAUGUUAUUCUUGCAUUAAUUCUUUGGAUAAUUUCAUUCCCUAGACAUUUGCUGAUGACCUUCAUGCCAGAUGCCCACUUGAGAGCCUGGAGAGAGUGGCAUGUAGCACUUUCUGCCUGCUGAGUGGCCUGCACACACCCCUGGGAUCUCUGGCUCCAGAGCCUGUGUUUAUCCUGCUAUGGCAAACCACACUGCCUUCUCUAAGGCAGCAUCUCCUGGUGGGAAGAGUAUCAUCUGCUUUGAAGUUCUGUGAAUGGACCAGAGGAAGUGAAAUGAAGAAAAGAGACCAAAUAGGAGGCUGUUGCUGUGGUCCAGGCAGGGGGUGCUGAUGGCAGGAGAUGCUGGAGGCCAGAGCCAGGGCGGGCAGUCACUGGUCAGCAGAGGAUGCCAUAUGUCAUUUGACAGAUUUGGAAGUUGGAAGAACGUGCACCGCCCAUUUCCUUCAGGAUAAGAGCGUGGAGGGGCGGGAAAGCCCCCUCUCUGUGUGGGGCGCUCUGGAAACCCAAAUCGCAAAGUCGUCUCUUCGUUAUUUGUGAAAGAAUGGACAAUUGUGUACCUGGUUAGAAAUCUUUAAUUUCACAUUUCUUAAACAUCAGAUUUUAAAAAACGGGUAGGUCAAUCGUUAGAGAUACUGCAUGUGGGGCGCGGGGCUGCGUUGGAGGGUGGCACCGCCUGGUGUGGAGAGCAGGCGUCGCGCGUGCGCUUAGCUGACUCUGAGGGCUCCAGAGGAGAGAGCA